UACGUAGGGGGCAAGCGUUGUCCGGAUUUAUUGGGCGUAAAGAGCGUGUAGGCGGCCAGGUAGGUCCGCUGUGAAAACUCGAGGCUUAACCUCGAGAUGUCGGUGGAAACCAUCUGGCUAGAGUCCGGAAGAGGAGAGUGGAAUUCCUGGUGUAGCGGUGAAAUGCGCAGAUAUCAGGAAGAACACCGGUGGCGAAAGCGCUCUGCUAGGCCGCAACUGACACUGAGGGACGAAAGCUAGGGGAGCGAAUGGG
Molecule: ribosomal RNA, 253 nt
Filed under: uncultured bacterium
Lineage: Bacteria
Description: partial 16S ribosomal RNA
Rfam family: Bacterial small subunit ribosomal RNA
Source: RNAcentral